UCUUUAUGGGGUGACUGCGUACCUUUUGUAUAAUGGGUCAGCGACUUAUAUUCUGUAGCAAGGUUAACCGAAUAGGGGAGCCGAAGGGAAACCGAGUCUUAACUGGGCGUUAAGUUGCAGGGUAUAGACCCGAAACCCGGUGAUCUAGCCAUGGGCAGGUUGAAGGUUGGGUAACACUAACUGGAGGACCGAACCGACUAAUGUUGAAAAAUUAGCGGAUGACUUGUGGCUGGGGGUGAAAGGCCAAUCAAACCGGGAGAUAGCUGGUUCUCCCCGAAAGCUAUUUAGGUAGCGCCUCGUGAACUCAUCUCCGGGGGUAGAGCACUGUUUCGGCAAGGGGGUCAUCCCGACUUACCAACCCGAUGCAAACUGCGAAUACCGGAGAAUGUUAUCACGGGAGACACACGGCGGGUGCUAACGUCCGUCGUGAAGAGGGAAACAACCCAGACCGCCAGCUAAGGUCCCAAAGUCAUGGUUAAGUGGGAAACGAUGUGGGAAGGCCCAGACAGCCAGGAUGUUGGCUUAGAAGCAGCCAUCAUUUAAAGAAAGCGUAAUAGCUCACUGGUCGAGUCGGCCUGCGCGGAAGAUGUAACGGGGCUAAACCAUGCACCGAAGCUGCGGCAGCGACACUAUGUGUUGUUGGGUAGGGGAGCGUUCUGUAAGCCUGUGAAGGUGUACUGUGAGGUAUGCUGGAGGUAUCAGAAGUGCGAAUGCUGACAUAAGUAACGAUAAAGCGGGUGAAAAGCCCGCUCGCCGGAAGACCAAGGGUUCCUGUCCAACGUUAAUCGGGGCAGGGUGAGUCGACCCCUAAGGCGAGGCCGAAAGGCGUAGUCGAUGGGAAACAGGUUAAUAUUCCUGUACUUGGUGUUACUGCGAAGGGGGGACGGAGAAGGCUAUGUUGGCCGGGCGACGGUUGUCCCGGUUUAAGCGUGUAGGCUGGUUUUCCAGGCAAAUCCGGAAAAUCAAGGCUGAGGCGUGAUGACGAGGCACUACGGUGCUGAAGCAACAAAUGCCCUGCUUCCAGGAAAAGCCUCUAAGCAUCAGGUAACAUCAAAUCGUACCCCAAACCGACACAGGUGGUCAGGUAGAGAAUACCAAGGCGCUUGAGAGAACUCGGGUGAAGGAACUAGGCAAAAUGGUGCCGUAACUUCGGGAGAAGGCACGCUGAUAUGUAGGUGAGGUCCCUCGCGGAUGGAGCUGAAAUCAGUCGAAGAUACCAGCUGGCUGCAACUGUUUAUUAAAAACACAGCACUGUGCAAACACGAAAGUGGACGUAUACGGUGUGACGCCUGCCCGGUGCCGGAAGGUUAAUUGAUGGGGUUAGCGGUAACGCGAAGCUCUUGAUCGAAGCCCCGGUAAACGGCGGCCGUAACUAUAACGGUCCUAAGGUAGCGAAAUUCCUUGUCGGGUAAGUUCCGACCUGCACGAAUGGCGUAAUGAUGGCCAGGCUGUCUCCACCCGAGACUCAGUGAAAUUGAACUCGCUGUGAAGAUGCAGUGUACCCGCGGCAAGACGGAAAGACCCCGUGAACCUUUACUAUAGCUUGACACUGAACAUUGAGCCUUGAUGUGUAGGAUAGGUGGGAGGCUUUGAAGUGUGGACGCCAGUCUGCAUGGAGCCGACCUUGAAAUACCACCCUUUAAUGUUUGAUGUUCUAACGUUGACCCGUAAUCCGGGUUGCGGACAGUGUCUGGUGGGUAGUUUGACUGGGGCGGUCUCCUCCUAAAGAGUAACGGAGGAGCACGAAGGUUGGCUAAUCCUGGUCGGACAUCAGGAGGUUAGUGCAAUGGCAUAAGCCAGCUUGACUGCGAGCGUGACGGCGCGAGCAGGUGCGAAAGCAGGUCAUAGUGAUCCGGUGGUUCUGAAUGGAAGGGCCAUCGCUCAACGGAUAAAAGGUACUCCGGGGAUAACAGGCUGAUACCGCCCAAGAGUUCAUAUCGACGGCGGUGUUUGGCACCUCGAUGUCGGCUCAUCACAUCCUGGGGCUGAAGUAGGUCCCAAGGGUAUGGCUGUUCGCCAUUUAAAGUGGUACGCGAGCUGGGUUUAGAACGUCGUGAGACAGUUCGGUCCCUAUCUGCCGUGGGCGCUGGAGAACUGAGGGGGGCUGCUCCUAGUACGAGAGGACCGGAGUGGACGCAUCACUGGUGUUCGGGUUGUCAUGCCAAUGGCACUGCCCGGUAGCUAAAUGCGGAAGAGAUAAGUGCUGAAAGCAUCUAAGCACGAAACUUGCC
RNAcentral lists this ribosomal RNA (2231 nucleotides) under Escherichia coli. RNAcentral's name for it is "partial 23S ribosomal RNA". It matches the Rfam family "Bacterial large subunit ribosomal RNA", at positions 582 to 2798 of the family's 2925-position model. Lineage: Bacteria; Pseudomonadati; Pseudomonadota; Gammaproteobacteria; Enterobacterales; Enterobacteriaceae. The record is from RNAcentral.